RNAcentral lists this ribosomal RNA (283 nucleotides) under Glomus sp. (unid). The record is from RNAcentral. Lineage: Eukaryota; Fungi; Glomeromycota; Glomeromycetes; Glomerales; Glomeraceae.
CAGUCGCGUUCUCUGGGAUUCAGCCUUGCUUCUUGCUUGGUGCAUUUCCUAGUCUACGGGCCAGCAUGAAUUUUGAUUGUCAUAAAAAGGUUAAGGGGAUGUGGCUCCUUCGGGAGUGUUAUAACCCUUAGCGGAAUGUGGCGAUUGGGAUUGAGGAUUGCAACGAAUACCUUUAGGGCAGUUCCGUCUGGUCUCUUGUUGACGUUCAGAUAGCAACAGCUUGCUUUUGUGUUUGAAUUAGUUAGCAAAUAGAUUAGAAAGUGAAUUAAUUCGUUAAGGAUGC